CGCGUAGGUGGUUUGAUAAGGGUGUGGUGAAAGCCCGGGGCUCAACCCCGGGUCUGCCGUGCCGACUGUUAAACUUGAGGGCUGUAGAGGCAGACGGAAUUCCGGGUGUAGCGGUGGAAUGCGUAGAGAUCCGGAGGAAGACCGGUGGCGAAGGCGGUCUGCUGGGCAGUUUCUGACACUGAUGCGCGACAGCGUGGGGAGCAAACA
RNAcentral lists this ribosomal RNA (207 nucleotides) under uncultured bacterium. RNAcentral's name for it is "partial 16S ribosomal RNA". It matches the Rfam family "Bacterial small subunit ribosomal RNA", at positions 568 to 774 of the family's 1533-position model. The record is from RNAcentral.